UCUUUUUAUUUCUCUUCAUCUUCUUUUUCAUGUUGCGCUUGAACUUCAUAGAAAGACAUGAUUUUCAAUCUCGUUAAGCAUGCUGUAGAAUCCAAUCGUAGCAAUCUUUGAAUCCCACAAAGUAUCUCAAAAAAAUACGAACAACAAAUCAGAAUCCAACAGGGAUCAAGUUGACCGAUUCAUAAUGAAAAAAACAGAAUUCAUCCAGAGAAAUCGCUUCCCUCGGCCGAAGAUGAAGCAACAAUCAGACUUGGACAGAAAAUCUUUCAUUUUCCAGCUAGACAGCUCUCUAGGAGCAGAGAUGGCUUGACUCGCCUUCCCCAUAUAAGAUUCUCGCCUUCACCGACAGACAGCCUGAUCGAUUUGAGAUCUGUGUUUAAUCUAAAGGCUUGUGUUGGGAGAAAGUGGAGGAUUUGAUUUAGUGGGAAAAGGUGGUCGUGGGGUCCAUAUACCAGUGUAAAUGGACCAGGAUGAUUGGUUAGAGAAGAUGCCGGGUAAUUUAAUGGUGGUGGCUACGGUUACUGCAACCACGAGAUUUCAAGCUGCAAUAAGCCCACCGGAAUUCAAACUUGCAUCAUCAUUGACACUAAGAACUGAAUCCUCAUUUCAAUGACCAAAUGCAAGAUGCUCCGAAUGAGAUUCCGAUGCCUCAAAAUAAAUCCAAAUCGUUCAUUUAUCGGUUUCGUUUUAUGCUGUUACUGAAUUAGAAAUUAAUUGCAUAUUUGAAAUUAUCACCGAAUCUCAAACUCAGCCCAAGAGUAUGUGUUUGUCAAGGUCACCGGAGAUAAGUUUGAGUAGAUGAUAAAGAAGGUGAGAGACAGUGAGUUUUAAUUUUUUGUCAAUAUUUAUUUUAAUUAUUAAGGGCGUAUUUUAUUCUUUUCAGCUUUA
Molecule: long non-coding RNA, 888 nt
Organism: Jatropha curcas
Lineage: Eukaryota; Viridiplantae; Streptophyta; Magnoliopsida; Malpighiales; Euphorbiaceae
Source: RefSeq, a predicted model, not a curated record